RNAcentral lists this long non-coding RNA (426 nucleotides) under Capsicum annuum. Its description in RNAcentral is "long non-coding RNA (CANN_LNC016844)". Lineage: Eukaryota; Viridiplantae; Streptophyta; Magnoliopsida; Solanales; Solanaceae. The record is from RNAcentral.
AGAAGGCCUCUAUUUAUAGAGAUGAAAAUGAAGACAAGUAGCAACUUUGUUUGAACAAGAAGCAACUUGUUUGAACAAGUAGCAACCUUAUCUGAACAAGUAGCAACUUGUUUGAACAAGUAGCAAUCUUGUUUGACAAGUCCAAAAAAUAAUCUUCCACAAGUAUUUGGUAGAAACUUCUUUUGACAAAGUAAGAGUGAAUCAAACAAAGGCCACAUUACACGCUAAGAAUAGAAAUGUAUCUAUUAUUUGACAUAGAACUGAUGUUGAAACAUGAGCAUUUGCAUAAAAACUUAGAAAUAUUGCAGAAGCCACAUUUUUUCAAGUACCUGCAAGUUUGUUAUAUAUAAAAAAAAGGUUAAGCAUUAAAAGAUAUAUAUCUAAAUAUGUUAGAAAAAAAAAAAAGUAAUACUCUCUAAAAUUUGC